UACGUAGGGGGCGAGCGUUGUCCGGAUUUACUGGGCGUAAAGCGCGUGUAGGCGGCUUCUUAAGUCGGGUGUGAAAGCCCGGGGCUCAACCUCGGGAUGCCGCCCGAGACUGGGAGGCUUGAGGUCGGAAGAGGGGAGUGGAAUUCCAGGUGUAGCGGUGAAAUGCGUAGAGAUCUGGAGGAACACCCGUGGCGAAGGCGGCUCCCUGGUCCGGUUCUGACGCUGAGACGCGAAAGCGCGGGGAGCGAACGGG
This 253-nucleotide ribosomal RNA is filed under the name uncultured bacterium. Its description in RNAcentral is "partial 16S ribosomal RNA". It matches the Rfam family "Bacterial small subunit ribosomal RNA", at positions 524 to 776 of the family's 1533-position model. The record is from RNAcentral.